AGACCCGAAACCCGGUGAUCUAGCCAUGGGCAGGUUGAAGGUUGGGUAACACUAACUGGAGGACCGAACCGACUAAUGUUGAAAAAUUAGCGGAUGACCUGUGGCUGGGGGUGAAAGGCCAAUCAAACCGGGAGAUAGCUGGUUCUCCCCGAAAGCUAUUUAGGUAGCGCCUCGUGAAUUCAUCUCCGGGGGUAGAGCACUGUUUCGGCUAGGGGGCCAUCCCGGCUUACCAACCCGAUGCAAACUGCGAAUACCGGAGAAUGUUAUCACGGGAGACACACGGCGGGUGCUAACGUCCGUCGUGAAGAGGGAAACAACCCAGACCGCCAGCUAAGGUCCCAAAGUCAUGGUUAAGUGGGAAACGAUGUGGGAAGGCCCAGACAGCCAGGAUGUUGGCUUAGAAGCAGCCAUCAUUUAAAGAAAGCGUAAUAGCUCACUGGUCGAGUCGGCCUGCGCGGAAGAUGUAACGGGGCUAAACCAUGCACCGAAGCUGCGGCAGCGAACGUAUCA
This 510-nucleotide ribosomal RNA is filed under the name Salmonella enterica subsp. enterica serovar Infantis. RNAcentral describes it as "partial 23S ribosomal RNA". It matches the Rfam family "Bacterial large subunit ribosomal RNA", at positions 711 to 1218 of the family's 2925-position model. The record is from RNAcentral. RNAcentral also lists the same sequence under 4 other names. Lineage: Bacteria; Pseudomonadati; Pseudomonadota; Gammaproteobacteria; Enterobacterales; Enterobacteriaceae.